AUGGCAACUGGAGAGAUAACCGAAGGGAGCAGCUCCAGCCCCGAACUACCAAAGAUAUUUUCAUUUCAGUCUCUGGAAGGAAUUACGAAUAACUUCUCCCGAAUAUUCUGUAAAGAUCCAUUUGGACCAGUUUAUAAGGGAACUCUGCCAGAUACUGACAAAGAGAUUGCGGUGAAAAAACUUGAGCAAAGCGCGGAAAUCCCACCUGAGGAUUUUGAGAAUAAGGUUCAGAGUGUUUAUGAGAUUAAACAUGAAAAUAUCGUAGAGUUGAUUGGGUUCUGCAAUCAAACACUACAGAUCACUACAGAAAGGUUACUCUGCUAUGACUUUGAUCCUAAUGAGAGCCUUCAACAGCAUCUUUUUGGGCCCAAAGCAACAGAUGGCUCCAAUUCGGCUGAUCCCAGUACCAACUGGGACACAUGUUUCAAAAUAGUCAAGGGGGUUUGCCAGGGUUUACUUUAUCUACACAAGUUAGAGGAUCCCAUUACCCAUAUGGAUCUUAACCUGAAUAAUAUAUGGUUGGAUAGAGCAAUGGUGCCCAAAAUUGCCAAUCUUGGACUCUCCAGAAUCUUUAGCGAAGAUCGGAUCAAAUACUACAAAGAGGAAUCACCUAGAUACAUGGCUCCAGAAUAUCUAAACAGCACUGGCAUGUCGGUCUCAAUAGACAUAUAUAGUUUGGGGGUAAUGAUGAUCCAAAUCACCACAAGAGAGGAGAACAACGACAAUCUGGACAAGGCCUCAAGGAUAUACAUUAAAGAUAUACGGAAAAGGUGGACAGCAGAGCACAUAGCAUCCGUGUACUCAUCGCUUGAUUCAGAAUGCCUCCAUCAAGUACAUACAUGCAUAAAAACAGGGCUAGAGUGCAUGCAGAUUGAUCAGAAAAAUAGGCCUUCCAUAGAUGUAAUUGUUGACAGGCUCAACACAAUCUGA
Molecule: ribosomal RNA, 930 nt
Filed under: Triticum aestivum (bread wheat)
Lineage: Eukaryota; Viridiplantae; Streptophyta; Magnoliopsida; Poales; Poaceae
Description: partial small subunit ribosomal RNA
Source: RNAcentral